Molecule: non-coding RNA, 2332 nt
Organism: Malus domestica (apple)
Lineage: Eukaryota; Viridiplantae; Streptophyta; Magnoliopsida; Rosales; Rosaceae
Source: RefSeq, a predicted model, not a curated record
AGAUAGAGAGUGUGUGUGAGAGAGAGAUAUGGGAGGAUUUGUGGAGGGAUUUUAGGGAUUUUCUUAGAGAGGGAGAUGAGACAGAGAGAGAGAGAGAGAUUUCAGCGAUUUGAAAAUUCAUCCCCUUCACACAAGCUCUGCAAAUCAGUCUUCCUUUCUUUUCUAUCUGCCGUUUGCAUAUUUCUCUCGCCAAUUAUCGACGCCGGUUCUUGGUCAGAAACUUUUGCGCUCUUGCAAAAUUCUUUUGUUUGAAAACCCUCAACCCUUACAAGUUUCUGCCUUUUUUGAAUUCGGUCGGAAUCCAAUUUCUUGCUCACAUAACCUAGCGUUUCCUGGAAAGGCUGGGGUUCGAAUUAUGGGGUUUUUGCAUACAAGAUUGGAAGCCCUUUCUUAUCAAGUUGGAAGAAAAUGGAAACCCUAUCAAAGUCUGUAACUACAAGCAAACAUGAGGAGGCACAAAUUGGAUUGAGUGAGAGAUAUAUGUUUUGGAAUCAGACAGAAUCCCUUUAACCACGGAGACUAUUUUUGUUGCUUCCUUAUGCACACGAGGCAAUUCCACGAGGUGAUUCUGAGCAGAGAGUACUCAAGGAGUGCAUGUUUCAGGACCUGAGCUGGGGGAACAAGAAGCAUCGGUUUGUUUCGAGAUUUUUAAUGGUGUGCUUGCUCUUGAAUUGGCUAGAGAUGGUGCAGCAGCUGCUCAAUCAGCUCAGCGUCGUGGUUGAUAAGCGCAAGAGGACCUUCCAGACAAGUGAAUGAAAAGGGAAAUAGUUAUUGGGAAAAGAAUUGCCACCAAAUUUUGGGACUGAGAAAGCUAUUUGUGCCAAGUAUGAGGGAAGACUGGGUUGCGAAGAAUGCAAAACAACCAGCUCCUAAACCAGUAGAUAUGAGCAUCAGUUCCAAUAGUUUGGUAAAGGAUGGAGCCACAUGUGGAGCUCCAAAGGAAACAAGGAGACAUUCUCUUGAGGAAGCGAUGCUUUUUACGGUGGCGGAAGCUGCUCCUCCAGUGGCAAGACCCCGUGGGGUAGAUUUUAACUAGAUCUAUCUUUCACAGUUGCAAAAUAAUGGUCAGUUGGUGCGACGAUAUUGACUUCACUAAUGGACAUGAAAAGGAGACAUGGUAUGGUAAAGAUUUACUUUUCAGCAUCCGACAACACUGAUAUGGCAUUUGGUGUAUACUUUGCUUUUGAAUCCCAAUCGGAAUUAUGCCCCUCUCAGUGCUGAGGAUCCUGGAAAUUCCAGGUCUCUCUUCUCUUUCCCUCUCCCUAUGUGUAGUUUAAUAUAAUUGAACAACUCUGUUUGAUUUAAGAUUUAGUUGGAAGUGUUUGAGAUUUAAUUAAGUGAAAAUUUAGUUCAAUAGUAGAAAAUAAAUGGAACAUUCAGAUAGUGGAGAAAGAAAGAAGCCUUUUAGGAUUUUAGAAGUUGCGGUCCAUGAAGAUGAUUCACUAGAGAGAAGCAUUAUGAUUUGUGGAUUUUCAUAUUUGAAUUAGUUCUAUUAUGUUUGCGAUGUGAGUUCCUGAAAUGGUUUGGUUCUUCUUGGACCCUGCAAUGCAAGAAGGUUAUUGAAAACCUUUUAGUAAGUUUGGGACGUUUGUAAUUACUAAAAUUUUGUUGCAAGAAAUUGGGGGAUGAAUUUGGGUUUCGGGGGAAUGUUAUCCUUUUUUAUUCUUAUACUGCACCCAAAAAAAAAAAAAAAAGCAUUGGGUGCAAGUAUGUGUUUUUUAACAUUUAUUUCUGUAGUGUGAAAGUCAAUUGCGUUUUUUUUUGCUGCGGGUUGCACUGACUCUUGGUCUACCCCCAACAUUGGUCUUUAAAUGUGGAAGAGGAAGCGCGUCCAUCCCACCCACCAAAAAAUGGUUAGAGCCUUAGAGGUGAAUGGUGUUCUUUUCUUUAGACAAGUUUUUGGAAACAAUAUUAUUUGAAUUUUUUAUAUUUUAACAAGCAAGUGAAGCCAAGUUUUAGUGAUUUUGAUGCAUAUUUUAUUAGUGAUUUUGACGCCACCAACCUUAUCUCAGUGUAUCACUUUUGACGUUUUAUUCAGCUUCCUUUGGUAAUUGUACUUAAUGAAUAGGAUUUUAGAUGUUUUCAUUUGCGGUUCAUUUAGUCAGUCAAGGUAUUAAUUUGUUUCAAUUAUGUUCAUAAAGUUUGAUUAAACUCUUCAUUUUCAAUUGUACCAAUUAGGCUCAUAAAGUGGUUCAAAGAGCUUCAAGAGCUUGAUUCACUCAAUUUAUACUUUUCAUGUAAAACUUUUUUCAAAAAGUUGAAACAUCUUUCAGUGUAGAUAACAUUAAUCAUUUGUAACAAUCUUUUAUCCUUUUGAAACAUAUUUUUUCAU